AAUAUUGGACCAUGUGGGCAACCCUGAUCAAGCCAUGCCGCGUGUGUGAAGAAGGUCCUCGGAUUGUAACGCACUUUAAGUUGGGAGGAAGGGCUUUAGGGUAAUACCCCGAAGUCUUGACGUUACCAACAGAAUAAGCACCGGCUAACUCUGUGCCAGCAGCCGCGGUAAUACAGAGGGUACAAGCGUUAAUCGGAAUUACUGGGCGUAAAGCGCGCGUAGGUGGUUCAGUAAGAUGGGUGUGAAAUCCCCGGGCUUAACCUGGGAACUGCUUUCAUAACUGCAGAGCUAGAGUACGGUAGAGGGUAGUGGAAUUUCCUGUGUAGCGGUGAAAUGCGUAGAUAUAGGAAAGAACACCAGUGGCGAAGGCGACUAACUGGACUGAUACUGACACUGAGGUGCGAAAGCGUGGGGAGCAAA
This 420-nucleotide ribosomal RNA is filed under the name uncultured bacterium. Its description in RNAcentral is "partial 16S ribosomal RNA". It matches the Rfam family "Bacterial small subunit ribosomal RNA", at positions 360 to 772 of the family's 1533-position model. The record is from RNAcentral.